GCUCCCGUAGUCUAGCCCGGUCAAGGAUAGCGGCCUCUCACGCCGCGGACUCGGGUUCAAAUCCCGACGGGAGCA
Molecule: transfer RNA, 75 nt
Filed under: Candidatus Aenigmatarchaeota archaeon
Lineage: Archaea; Nanobdellati; Candidatus Aenigmatarchaeota
Description: tRNA-Glu
Rfam family: tRNA
About the family: Transfer RNA (tRNA) molecules are approximately 80 nucleotides in length. Their secondary structure includes four short double-helical elements and three loops (D, anti-codon, and T loops). Further hydrogen bonds mediate the characteristic L-shaped molecular structure. tRNAs have two regions of fundamental functional importance: the anti-codon, which is responsible for specific mRNA codon recognition, and the 3' end, to which the tRNAs corresponding amino acid is attached (by aminoacyl-tRNA synthetases). tRNAs cope with the degeneracy of the genetic code in two manners: having more than one tRNA (with a specific anti-codon) for a particular amino acid; and 'wobble' base-pairing, i.e. permitting non-standard base-pairing at the 3rd anti-codon position.
Source: RNAcentral